GGGCUAAGAGCUCAAACGAGUCACAAUAGGGAGGCUAGUGACCCCCAUCCAUUCCCAUGGCAUCGUUUGAAGGGCUCUGGAGCCAGCCGCCUGGGUUCGAAUCCUGACUGUCCCCCUCACCAGGCUCUGGGGAGGAAAGGGAGCCCAUGGCAGACCAGACCCCUGGCCGGCCAGGGUCCCCGGGGUCUGCGAGGAGGACGUUCAUGGGCGAGUGUGUGGUGGUGGGUGAACUGCGGCAGAACCCGAGAUUAACAGCUGGAACCCUCUCCUCUUGCAGAUGAGGAAACCAGGGAAAUCAAGGGUGUUUGAGUGACUGACCGAAAGUCACACAGCUAGGAAGUAA
Molecule: long non-coding RNA, 343 nt
Filed under: Homo sapiens (human)
Lineage: Eukaryota; Metazoa; Chordata; Mammalia; Primates; Hominidae
Description: non-protein coding LINC02317:6
Source: RNAcentral